GAAGAAAGAUGGGGGCGUGCUUAACACAUGCAAGUCGAACGGAAAGGCCCUGCUUUUGUGGGGUGCUCGAGUGGCGAACGGGUGAGUAACACGUGAGUAACCUGCCCUUGACUUUGGGAUAACUUCAGGAAACUGGGCUAAUACCGGAUAGGAGCUCCUGCUGCCUGGUGGGGGGUGGGAAGUUUCGGCGGUUGGGGAUGGACUCGCGGCUUAUCAGCUUGUUGGUGGGGUAGUGGCUUACCAAGGCUUUGACGGGUAGCCGGCCUGAGAGGGUGACCGGCCACAUUGGGACUGAGAUACGGCCCAGACUCCUACGGGAGGCAGCAGUGGGGAAUAUUGCACAAUGGGCGGAAGCCUGAUGCAGCAACGCCGCGUGCGGGAUGACGGCCUUCGGGUUGUAAACCGCUUUCGCCUGUGACGAAGCGUGAGUGACGGUAAUGGGUAAAGAAGCACCGGCUAACUACGUG
RNAcentral lists this ribosomal RNA (467 nucleotides) under uncultured bacterium. RNAcentral's name for it is "partial 16S ribosomal RNA". It matches the Rfam family "Bacterial small subunit ribosomal RNA", at positions 28 to 507 of the family's 1533-position model. The record is from RNAcentral.